This 383-nucleotide ribosomal RNA is filed under the name uncultured eukaryote. Its description in RNAcentral is "partial 18S ribosomal RNA". It matches the Rfam family "Eukaryotic small subunit ribosomal RNA", at positions 592 to 976 of the family's 1831-position model. The record is from RNAcentral.
CAAUAGCGUAUAUUAAAGUUGCUGCAGUUAAAAAGCUCGUAGUUGGAUUUCUGGUGGGAGCGAUCGGUCUGGCGCUUAGCGCGAGUACUUGCAUCGUCUCCGGCCAUCCUUGGGGAGAGUCUGUCUGGCAUUAGGUUGUCGGGCAGAAGAUCCUCAUCGUUUACUGUGAAAAAAUUAGAGUGUUCAAAGCAGGCUUAUGCCGUUGAAUAUAUUAGCAUGGAAUAAUAAGAUAGGACUUUGGUACUAUUUUGUUGGUUUGCGCACCAAAGUAAUGAUUAAUAGGGACAGUUGGGGGUAUUCGUAUUCCGUUGUCAGAGGUGAAAUUCUUGGAUUUACGGAAGACGAACUACUGCGAAAGCAUUUACCAAGGAUGUUUUCAUUAA